Non-coding RNA from Podarcis lilfordi (Lilford's wall lizard), 69 nucleotides. The record is from the annotation of a GenBank genome assembly. Lineage: Eukaryota; Metazoa; Chordata; Lepidosauria; Squamata; Lacertidae.
GCUGUAGCUCAAUGAUAGAGCAUCUGCUUUGCAUGCAGAAGGCCUCAGAUUCAAUCCCUGACAUCUGCA